Small nuclear RNA from Gracilinanus agilis (Agile Gracile Mouse Opossum), 103 nucleotides. Lineage: Eukaryota; Metazoa; Chordata; Mammalia; Didelphimorphia; Didelphidae. The record is from RefSeq and is a predicted model, not a curated record.
UUGCUUUGGCAGCACAUAUACUAAAAUUGGAAUGAUGCAAAGAAGACUAACAUGGUGCUUGUGGAAGGAUAACAUAGAAAUUUAUGAUGAUUUCUAUAUUUUU